AAAGCAUCUUGAUGUGGGAGACACCAUGACCAGAAGGUGGCUUUCCCAGGUGGCUCAUCCAUUGCACUCCAUGUGUGCUGACCCCUACAAUUUCCCCAAAUGUGGAAAACUUGACUACAUAAUUUGUGAUAGUGGGGGGGCUGCAACCAUGCUUUUCCCUG
RNAcentral lists this small nuclear RNA (161 nucleotides) under Salvator merianae (Argentine black and white tegu). RNAcentral describes it as "U1 spliceosomal RNA (ENSSMRG00000013318.1)". It matches the Rfam family "U1 spliceosomal RNA". From Rfam's summary of the family: U1 is a small nuclear RNA (snRNA) component of the spliceosome (involved in pre-mRNA splicing). Its 5' end forms complementary base pairs with the 5' splice junction, thus defining the 5' donor site of an intron. The record is from Rfam by way of RNAcentral. Lineage: Eukaryota; Metazoa; Chordata; Lepidosauria; Squamata; Teiidae.